GACGAACGCUGGCGGCGUGCUUAAUACAUGCAAGUCGAACGGAAAGGCUCCAGCUUGCUGCCGUACUCGAGUGGCGAACGCGUGUGUAACACGUGGGUAAUCUGUCCUUCACUCUGGGAUAAGCCUGGGAAACUCGGUCUCUUACUGCAUAUGACCUUUCUCCUUAUGGGGUUUUGUGGAAAGUUUUUCGGUAUCGGAUGAUCCCGCGGCCUAUCAGCUUGUUGGGGGGGUUAAGGCCUACCAAGGCGUCGCCGGGUAGCCAGCCUGAGAGGGUGAUCGGGCACAAUAGGACUGAGAGACGGACCAGACGCCAACGGGAGGCAGCAGUGGGGAAUAUUGCGCAACGGGGGGAAGCCUGAGGCAGCGACGCCGGGUGAGGGAUGACGGCUUUCGGGUGAUAAACCUCUUUCAGCAGGGACGAAGCGUAAGUGACGGUACCUGAAGAGGAAGCACCGGCUAACUAUGUG
RNAcentral lists this ribosomal RNA (467 nucleotides) under uncultured bacterium. RNAcentral describes it as "partial 16S ribosomal RNA". It matches the Rfam family "Bacterial small subunit ribosomal RNA", at positions 28 to 507 of the family's 1533-position model. The record is from RNAcentral.